AUUGAACGCUGGCGGCAGGCCUAACACAUGCGAGUCGAGCGGAGCGGCGGACGGGUGAGUAAUGCCUAGGAAUCUGCCUGGUAGUGGGGGAUAACGUCCGGAAACGGGCGUUAAUACCGCAUACUAUCAGAUGAGUCUAGGUCGGAUUAGCAAGUUGGUGGGGUAAAGGCCUACCAAGGAGACGAUCCGUAACUGGUCUGAGAGGAUGAUCAGUCACACUGGAACUGGGACACGGUCCAGACUCCGACGUGAGGCAGCAGCGGGGAAUAUCGGACAUUGGGCGAAAUCCUUAUCCAGCCAUGCCGCGUGUGUGAAGAAGGUCUUCGGAUUGUAAAGCACUUUAAGUUGGGAGGCGUUACCAACAGAAUAAGCACCGGCUAACAUCGUGCCAGCAGCCGCGGUAAGAC
Molecule: ribosomal RNA, 407 nt
Filed under: uncultured bacterium
Lineage: Bacteria
Description: partial 16S ribosomal RNA
Rfam family: Bacterial small subunit ribosomal RNA
Source: RNAcentral